UACGAAGGGGGCUAGCGUUGCUCGGAAUCACUGGGCGUAAAGGGUGCGUAGGCGGGUCUUUUAAGUCAGGGGUGAAAUCCUGGAGCUCAACUCCAGAACUGCCUUCGAUACUGGAGAGCUUGAGUCCGGGAGAGGUGAGUGGGAACUGCGAGUGUAGAGGUGAAAUUCGUAGAUAUUCGCAAGAACACCAGUGGCGAAGGCGGCUCACUGGCCCCGGUACUGACGCUGAGGUGCGAAAGCGUGGGGAGCAAACA
Molecule: ribosomal RNA, 254 nt
Filed under: uncultured bacterium
Lineage: Bacteria
Description: partial 16S ribosomal RNA
Rfam family: Bacterial small subunit ribosomal RNA
Source: RNAcentral